AUCUCGCCGAUGAGUCCCAAAUAGGAUGAAACACGCGUUAAACUAGAU
This 48-nucleotide non-coding RNA is filed under the name Schistosoma curassoni. The record is from RNAcentral. Lineage: Eukaryota; Metazoa; Platyhelminthes; Trematoda; Strigeidida; Schistosomatidae.